AGUGGGAUAACUGGGUCAAACGGUGGUUCUAUUCCAAGUUUUCUGAGGAAUCUCCAGGCUGCUUUCCAGAGUGGUUGCACCAAUUUGCAGUCCCAACAGCAAU
RNAcentral lists this microRNA precursor (103 nucleotides) under Marmota monax (woodchuck). Lineage: Eukaryota; Metazoa; Chordata; Mammalia; Rodentia; Sciuridae. The record is from RNAcentral.